CAGGACGAACGCUGGCGGCGUGCUUAACACAUGCAAGUCGAACGGAGAAUUUAUUUCGGUAAAUUCUUAGUGGCGAACGGGUGAGUAACGCGUAGGCAACCUGCCCUCCAGUUGGGGACAACAUUCCGAAAGGAAUGCUAAUACCGAAUGUGAUCCCUUUUCCGCAUGGAGAAGGGAUGAAAGAUGGCCUCUAUUUAUAAGCUAUCGCUGGAAGAUGGGCCUGCGUCUGAUUAGCUAGUUGGUGGGGUAACGGCUCACCAAGGCGAUGAUCAGUAGCCGGUCUGAGAGGAUGAACGGCCACAUUGGGACUGAGACACGGCCCAAACUCCUACGGGAGGCAGCAGUGGGGAAUCUUCCGCAAUGGACGAAAGUCUGACGGAGCAACGCCGCGUGAGUGAUGAAGGUCUUCGGAUUGUAAAACUCUGUUGUCAGGGACGAAUGUGCGAACGUUGAAUAAGCGUUUGUAUUGACGGUACCUGACGAGGAAGCCACGGCUAACUACGUGCCAGCAGCCGCGGUAAUACGUAGGUGGCAAGCGUUGUCCGGAAUUAUUGGGCGUAAAGAGCAUGUAGGCGGGCUUUUAAGUCCGACGUGAAAAUGCGGGGCUUAACCCCGUAUGGCGUUGGAUACUGGAAGUCUUGAGUGCAGGAGAGGAAAGGGGAAUUCCCAGUGUAGCGGUGAAAUGCGUAGAUAUUGGGAGGAACACCAGUGGCGAAGGCGCCUUUCUGGACUGUGUCUGACGCUGAGAUGCGAAAGCCAGGGUAGCAAACGGGAUUAGAUACCCCGGUAGUCCUGGCCGUAAACGAUGGGUACUAGGUGUAGGAGGUAUCGACCCCUUCUGUGCCGGAGUUAACGCAAUAAGUAC
RNAcentral lists this ribosomal RNA (865 nucleotides) under uncultured Bacillota bacterium. RNAcentral's name for it is "bacterial SSU rRNA". It matches the Rfam family "Bacterial small subunit ribosomal RNA", at positions 25 to 867 of the family's 1533-position model. Lineage: Bacteria; Bacillati; Bacillota. The record is from RNAcentral.